Molecule: long non-coding RNA, 373 nt
Organism: Ooceraea biroi (clonal raider ant)
Lineage: Eukaryota; Metazoa; Arthropoda; Insecta; Hymenoptera; Formicidae
Source: RefSeq, a predicted model, not a curated record
CCUGGGAAUCGUCCAGGACGGUCGUCCGGAGUGAAGUUGCCGCGCGAAUAUAUGAAUCUGCAAGAAGAAAAGAUCACAUAAUCACCUUCUCGCGAUUUAACCGCGGUAGAACCGCGAAAUCGAUGUAGCAAAAGAUCUAAAAAUUGAAAAAUAUUCAUCAAGAAAUCUUCUGAAAUGAAACUGAAGACUCAAUUGAAGAAUCAUGGCACUUAUCUGUUACAAACGGGACAAAAUAACUAAGUAAAUGGUAUUAUCUACUAUUUAUCUAUUAAAGAUAAAGUACUUAUCUGUUAUGGAUGACUAAAUGGGAAGUAACAAUCCGUUGUGUAAAGACGCUACCGGAGAAUAAAAUAUUACACAUUGAAUUACGCAA